UACGUAGGGGGCAAGCGUUGUCCGGAUUUAUUGGGCGUAAAGAGCGUGUAGGCGGCCAUACAGGUCCGUUGUGAAAACUCGAGGCUCAACCUCGAGAUGUCGAUGGAAACCGUCUGGCUAGAGUCCGGAAGAGGAGUGUGGAAUUCCUGGUGUAGCGGUGAAAUGCGCAGAUAUCAGGAAGAACACCUAUGGCGAAGGCAGCACUCUGGGACGGUACUGACGCUGAGACGCGAAAGCGUGGGGAGCGAACAGG
This 253-nucleotide ribosomal RNA is filed under the name uncultured bacterium. Its description in RNAcentral is "partial 16S ribosomal RNA". It matches the Rfam family "Bacterial small subunit ribosomal RNA", at positions 524 to 776 of the family's 1533-position model. The record is from RNAcentral.